RNAcentral lists this unclassified non-coding RNA (239 nucleotides) under Hevea brasiliensis (rubber tree). The record is from RNAcentral. Lineage: Eukaryota; Viridiplantae; Streptophyta; Magnoliopsida; Malpighiales; Euphorbiaceae.
GUGUUGAUUAAUGGGCUUUGUCGGAAAGGUGACUUGGCUCGAGCUGCAAAGCUUGUGGAUAACAUGUUUCUUAAAGGGUGUGUUCCAAAUGAUGUGACUUAUAACACACUUAUACACGGUUUGUGCCUGAAAGGUAAAUUGGAGAAAGCAGUUAGUUUAUUGGAUAGAAUGGUGUCAAAUAAGUAUAUACCAACUGAUAUAACCUAUGGAACGAUUAUCAAUGGGUUUGUUAAGCAAAG